GUCCAACGUUAAUCGGGGCAGGGUGAGUCGACCCCUAAGGCGAGGCCGAAAGGCGUAGUCGAUGGGAAACGGGUUAAUAUUCCCGUACUUGGUGUUACUGCGAAGGGGGGACGGAGAAGGCUAUGUUGGCCGGGCGACGGUUGUCCCGGUUUAAGCGUGUAGGUGUGUGUUCCAGGUAAAUCCGGUUCACUUUAACACUGAGGCGUGACGACGAGGCACUACGGUGCUGAAGCAACAAAUGCCCUGCUUCCAGGAAAAGCCUCUAAGCAUCAGGUAACAUCAAAUCGUACCCCAAACCGACACAGGUGGUCAGGUAGAGAAUACCAAGGCGCUUGAGAGAACUCGGGUGAAGGAACUAGGCAAAAUGGUGCCGUAACUUCGGGAGAAGGCACGCUGACACGUAGGUGAAGUGAUUUACUCAUGGAGCUGAAGUCAGUCGAAGAUACCAGCUGGCUGCAACUGUUUAUUAAAAACACAGCACUGUGCAAACACGAAAGUGGACGUAUACGGUGUGACGCCUGCCCGGUGCCGGAAGGUUAAUUGAUGGGGUCAGCGCAAGCGAAGCUCCUGAUCGAAGCCCCGGUAAACGGCGGCCGUAACUAUAACGGUCCUAAGGUAGCGAAAUUCCUUGUCGGGUAAGUUCCGACCUGCACGAAUGGCGUAAUGAUGGCCAGGCUGUCUCCACCCGAGACUCAGUGAAAUUGAACUCGCUGUGAAGAUGCAGUGUACCCGCGGCAAGACGGAAAGACCCCGUGAACCUUUACUAUAGCUUGACACUGAACAUUGAGCCUUGAUGUGUAGGAUAGGUGGGAGGCUUUGAAGUGUGGACGCCAGUCUGCAUGGAGCCGACCUUGAAAUACCACCCUUUAAUGUUUGAUGUUCUAACGUGGACCCGUAAUCCGGGUUGCGGACAGUGUCUGGUGGGUAGUUUGACUGGGGCGGUCUCCUCCUAAAGAGUAACGGAGGAGCACGAAGGUUGGCUAAUCCUGGUCGGACAUCAGGAGGUUAGUGCAAUGGCAUAAGCCAGCUUGACUGCGAGCGUGACGGCGCGAGCAGGUGCGAAAGCAGGUCAUAGUGAUCCGGUGGUUCUGAAUGGAAGGGCCAUCGCUCAACGGAUAAAAGGUACUCCGGGGAUAACAGGCUGAUACCGCCCAAGAGUUCAUAUCGACGGCGGUGUUUGGCACCUCGAUGUCGGCUCAUCACAUCCUGGGGCUGAAGUAGGUCCCAAGGGUAUGGCUGUUCGCCAUUUAAAGUGGUACGCGAGCUGGGUUUAGAACGUCGUGAGACAGUUCGGUCCCUAUCUGCCGUGGGCGCUGGAGAACUGAGGGGGGCUGCUCCUAGUACGAGAGGACCGGAGUGGACGCAUCACUGGUGUUCGGGUUGUCAUGCCAAUGGCACUGCCCGGUAGCUAAAUGCGGAAGAGAUAAGUGCUGAAAGCAUCUAAGCACGAAACUUGCCCCGA
RNAcentral lists this ribosomal RNA (1462 nucleotides) under Salmonella enterica. RNAcentral's name for it is "partial 23S ribosomal RNA". It matches the Rfam family "Bacterial large subunit ribosomal RNA", at positions 1357 to 2802 of the family's 2925-position model. Lineage: Bacteria; Pseudomonadati; Pseudomonadota; Gammaproteobacteria; Enterobacterales; Enterobacteriaceae. The record is from RNAcentral.